Molecule: ribosomal RNA, 445 nt
Filed under: uncultured bacterium
Lineage: Bacteria
Description: SSU rRNA
Rfam family: Bacterial small subunit ribosomal RNA
Source: RNAcentral
AGAAUGAACGCUGGCGGCAUGCCUAACACAUGCAAGUCGAACGAGACCUUCGGGUCUAGUGGCGCACGGGUGCGUAACGCGUGGGAAUCUGCCCUUGGGUUCGGAAUAACAGUGAGAAAUUACUGCUAAUACCGAAUGAUGUCGAAAGACCAAAGAUUUAUCGCCCAGGGAUGAGCCCGCGUAGGAUUAGCUAGUUGGUGAGGUAAAGGCUCACCAAGGCGACGAUCCUUAGCUGGUCUGAGAGGAUGAUCAGCCACACUGGGACUGAGACACGGCCCAGACUCCUACGGGAGGCAGCAGUGGGGAAUAUUGGACAAUGGGCGAAAGCCUGAUCCAGCAAUGCCGCGUGAGUGAUGAAGGCCUUAGGGUUGUAAAGCUCUUUACCCGGGAUGAUAAUGACAGUACCGGGAGAAUAAGCUCCGGCUAACUCCGUGCCAGCAGCCGC